RNAcentral lists this ribosomal RNA (680 nucleotides) under uncultured Acidobacteriota bacterium. RNAcentral describes it as "bacterial SSU rRNA". It matches the Rfam family "Bacterial small subunit ribosomal RNA", at positions 74 to 729 of the family's 1533-position model. Lineage: Bacteria; Pseudomonadati; Acidobacteriota. The record is from RNAcentral.
UUCCCUUCGGGGGAUGAGUAAAGUGGCAGACGGGUGAGUAACACGUGGGUAACCUGCCCGGAGGUGGGGGAUAACCCUCCGAAAGGAGGGCUAAUACCGCAUGAUAUCUCGAGACCCUCGGGUUUCGAGAUCAAAGCUGGCCUCUACUUGUAAGCUAGCACCACCGGAGGGGCCCGCGCCCCAUUAGCUUGAUGGUGAGGUAACGGCUCACCAUGGCUACGAUGGGUAGCCGGCCUGAGAGGGUGAUCGGCCACACUGGAACUGAGACACGGUCCAGACUCCUACGGGAGGCAGCAGUGAGGAAUUUUGCGCAAUGGGGGAAACCCUGACGCAGCGACGCCGCGUGGAGGAGGAAGGUCUUCGGAUCGUAAACUCCUGUCAAGAGGGACGAAUGCCGCGGAGAUGAAUAAGCUUCGCGGUUGACGGUACCUCUGAAGGAAGCCCCGGCUAACUCCGUGCCAGCAGCCGCGGUAAUACGGAGGGGGCUAGCGUUGUUCGGAAUUAUUGGGCGUAAAGGGCGCGUAGGCGGCCUGGUAAGUCAGUUGUGAAAGCCCUCGGCUCAACCGAGGAAUUGCGACUGAUACUGCCGGGCUUGAGUCCCGGAGAGGGUAGCGGAAUUCCCAGUGUAGCGGUGAAAUGCGUAGAUAUUGGGAGGAACAUCGGUGGCGAAGGCGGCUACC